This 27815-nucleotide long non-coding RNA is filed under the name Triticum aestivum (bread wheat). Its description in RNAcentral is "long non-coding RNA (TAES_LNC019755)". Lineage: Eukaryota; Viridiplantae; Streptophyta; Magnoliopsida; Poales; Poaceae. The record is from RNAcentral.
GCCAAUUUCGUCUUCGUCUUCGUGCAGCUGCCGUGGUGCGAUUUAUGCAGGGAGGACGCCAUGGAACGCGCCCUCUUGAUCGGGCUGUGGUGUUGCGUCGCACUGCAGGCGGCCGCGGCGGCGCUGGCUCUGCUUCUUCCGUGCCGCCGCCACUGGAUCCGCCGUGCCGUUGCCUACCUCGCCGUCGCGGUCGCCAUCGUCGGCCACUGUUUGUUGGCCAGCAUCGCCCCCCUCGCCGCCGACGCAGGACUAGGCUUGCUCGUCCCCUUGAUCGUCUACGCCGUGGCGGCCCUGGUGCUGCUACUCCCGUGCCGUUGCCGCCGGAUCUGCCAUGCCCUCGCCUACCUUGCGCUUGCGGUCGCGGUGGCGGCCGUCGUCAUCGGCUGCUGUAUUUUGGCGAGCUUCGUCCCCAUCGCCGUCGACACAGGACUAGGCAGGCUCAGGCUCAUCCUUUUGGUCGUCUACGUGGCGGUCAUGUUCAUCCUUGCGGUGGGCGACCUCAGCUUCCUGGCCCUCCUCAUAGGAGGGGAAUUCCCAUGGGACUGCUGAUUGGUCAGCCCCAAGCUCAUGCCCAUGGAUCAGCUCAUGAGGUACUCACGUACGUACGUACGUAACGAUCGACUUGCGGGGAAUAUUAAUAUUGAUGUGGUGCACUUCAUCGGCCUAGUAUUGGACCUUAAUAAUUUGAUGCUGAAUUAGCCUGUUAUUUGUGUGAUCGAGAUAUGCUAUUGAGUUCGUAUUAUUGAUGAACAAGCUACAUAUAUGGAGUCUGCUUUGAUGUAGUAUUAAUUGGACCUUUUCUCUGCACGAUCAACGGUAUAUGCCUAGCUUCGGUAUAAUUGAUGUUGAUGAUCUUGUUAUGCGCCACAUUCCUUGCGCCUUAACUGUGCUAAAUAAAAAUUGUCGACCAUAGCAAUUUUUGUUCAGUAAGUUACAAGCAUAUGACUGAUGGACUAAUUCGCUAGGGUAUUCUUCUCGUUGCCAACAUGUUUCAUGCAUGUGUUGAGAGCUUUGGACUUUUGAUCGAUGAACUUCGCACGUGUAUAGAACGGAUUCCCAUUCAACUGUGAGUCUCCCACUUUGUUAGAGCAACUAGCUCGGAUGCUCUCAUAGCAGAUUGGUAUCAUUUCUUUCCUUCAGGGCGGUUAAGGUGGUAUGGAUGAUGGGCGCCCGUGUGCCAGUGUAAUUAUCUUCGUCACCUUUUUGUUUCCUUGGGCCAUUGGAGCGGAUGAUAUGGGUCAAGCUGAACCCACACUCAACAAAGAUAUAAAGAGCAAUCUACAAUGGCACGCUAAGUACAUGCUCGGGGUUGCAAAACGGACAAGUGGUCCGUGGUAACAUACUAAUAAUAAUAUACGUAUUUUACAUACCGGUAGAUUGGAUUUGUAUUGUGUUUCGCAUGAACAGAAAAGUAUGACUCUGACUAACUACCGGGCAAGUAGUUUACCACCAUAUACGUGGUCGAUGGAGACCAAAAAUAAGCCGGUGAAUGCGUUCGAUUGAUCUGGUAAAAAAACAAAAACUACCCGAUGAUCUGUCAUGUAAAGUAAAACGCAAUUAAUGUAACUCACAGCCCAGGUUUUACCCGCUAACGGCGGCAUCCAACGUCACGUAAAAGUAAAUACAUGAUGCUGUCGAAAUUAAUGUUGUGCCACUAGGUGGCAUAUGCAUGCAUUAUGAUUAUUUUGAUUGCACGAACUAGGCAGUAUUGCCGUACGUAAUGAUUCCACGAGCACAGCAAGUAUACCAGUACCGCAAAUGGAACGGCCUGGCCCUGUGGCUGUGGCAUCGGUAGUGCACGAUGCACGCGGACGAGUGAGCUAAAACGAGCUACGGACCCAGGCUUUGGCUGCCCUGUGUGCACUGCCAAAAAUGGUAUACGCGCUGCCCAGAUCACAUGCCGCACCGGACCCUCUCCCUCCCUCACAUGCUACUCAGUGCAGCUAGCUCAGAGCCUGCGCCUGCUCGAGCUCGACACGUCCGUCGUGGGUGUCUCAUUGCAGGGCAGGCUCGCUCGCUCGCCACCGCGUUGCUCCUGCUCGGUACUUCGCACGUGCUAGAUGGAUAUGUUAUGGAUAUGCUGAUUAUGUAGAUGGAUAUGUUGAUGAUGAUACAUUAUGACAAUGUUGCAGCAAACCACUCAUGUCAUACAAAAUAAAAGAGGAUCAAGACUAACUCAAUCUCAUUGCAUCAGAAGAUAACUUCACUGAUCCAUUACGUAUUAAGCAAGAGCAUACAAAAAACAACUUGGCUUAAACUAGAGCAACUAAACCAGACAGUACAUUGCAUUUAGAUUGGCUGCAACUAAACCAACUAACUAACUUAAGAUCUUGCCUGCAACUAAGCCAAAAACAAAUAUAGUGAAAAGAAACAACACAUUGUGAAAUUUGGCCCUAAUCCCUACAAUCUCUGCAUUCUUCUCUCUGAGUUGAGUUUGCAGAGACAGAACCAUGGCCUCCCUUGUGCCAUCAUCUUCACUGGGAGUUAGCAUUGGAAAUUGAUCUUCAGAUCUAGCAACAGUUGCACCUUUAAGCCUCCAGACUUCAUCACACAGAUCCCCAAUGAGCUCACUCCAAAAUUUGGGCAAUGGAUCAUCAUGCCAUUGCACAAAUCCACAGCCACCAUUCUAUUAACAUGCACAAACAAAUUUCCAAAUAUAUAUCAUUUCAUAUACUAUUGCACAGAAGAAAAAGGAAAAAAAUUAGGCAAAAAACUACACUCGCCAGAGCAUCCAUGCAGCUAUAGUACCUCCUACCAGGGUUCUGCCUGCUCCAGGAGAUCCAUCUUGGCGCCUUCCUCGGAGUUGAGCAGUGGCACAUCACUGGAGGCUCGUAUGCCAUUGGGUUCUCACGGUAGCGCACCGGCGAGCGCGACUCCUCCCCCCUCCUUCCUGCGGCUCGACGAAAUCCGGGAGCGGACCCGGCACUGGACGACCACGACAUCUCUCUCUCCGCCGCCGGCCCCAGUCAGCGCCUCCACGCUGAGAUCUCUCCUUCGCUGCGCUCCAAAUGGACACCGCGUGGAUGAACCUAGUUUCGUUCCCCACUCGCUCGAUACAAGCUUGUGCUGUCACUUUAAUAGUAGGAGAGGUAUCGGUCCCACCUGUCAGAAUCCCCAAAUGUGGUACUGCAUGUUAUGUGAUGCCCCAAUAUUGGUACUGACAUGCAACAGCUAGCAGCAGUAUUGGUACUGACUUGCAACAAGUAACUGCAAAUGUGGUACUGAUUUGCAAAUAUUGGUACUGGAUUGUGCCAACAGACAUUCAUAAUUCAGGCACUGGCACUGGCAACACAUACAUACAUAUUCAUCAACAGCAACACAUACAUAUCCAGUAGCAACAUCAACAGCAACACCAUACAUACAUAUUCAACACCAAAAUAUGAUGCCCCAACUAGAGUACUCCACCUCAAGUUCAACAUUACAAUAACCAAUACUGGAUUGUGCCAAAAUAUGCAUCAAGUGGCAACAGCACAUCAACAUCAACAUCAAGUUCAACCAAAAUAACACCACAUCAUUUCAAAUUACAUGGCUCCUCUUCCUGUGCUAGCAGUGAAGUAGGACAUCCAUCCAGUGUGUGUACCAUCAGUAGCAAUGUCAGCAUAAGUUGAGGCAGCAUAUUGCCUGGGGGCACUGAAUGGCCUUGGAGCACCUCUUCCAGCUCCUGUGCCAACUCUUCCUCUACCAGCUCCUCUUCCAGAUGGUGGUGGUGUAGUAGAAGUAGCAGCAGCUCUUCCUCUGCCAGCUCCACUUCUUCCAGAUGAUGGUGGUGUAGGAGCAGAAGCACCAGCUCUCUUGCCUGUCUUGCUGUUGGUGUAGUAGAAGGACCAGCAGCUCUUGGCUGUGAGUUACUUGGAGUAGCCUUGCAAAGAAAAGGAAAACAGUUAAUAAUGCUAGAGAGGAAUGUACAAGAAAGGAAACAUUAGUAUAUUUCAAGGUGAAAAAUUAUUACCACAUGCUUAUUCUUCCUCAAAGCUAGCUCAGGCUUCAACUGUUUAAGACAGUUUGUGUACCUAUGCCCUUGGAGACCACAAUUGCCACAUGUUAUGGUCCCCAUUCUUGAAGUGUCUUUUGGCUUUGGUACUUCAAAUUUGCCCUUGAUCCUCUUUUCUUUCCUUCUUCCUCUCUUGAUUUUGAAUGCAGGUGGUUCUAUGUCUGGACUAGGGGUCCUUGUCCAAUCAUGCUCACCAGGCACAGGAAAGAUCAUUGGUUCAUAAGCUGCAACAUAAAAAUCUUUCUUGAAGAAUUUGCUGACAUAAUCCUCUGGUUUCCUUUUAGCCUUGUUUAUUGCAGAGAUGGCAUGGUUGCAAGGUAUGCCACUAAGGUCCCACUUCCUGCAUCCACAAGUCUCAAGUUCCAGGUUGACAGCAUGUGUUUGCUGCCCACUUGUAACUUGCCAUAAGUUGACCCCUGCCUGUAUUGGCUUGCAGUAUCUGGCCCUCUCCUUCUCAACCUCUAGCUUCUCAUUGUAAUGAGGUGUUAUCUCCCAUCUUGCUGCCUUUCCACUCUCUCUGUUCCUGUGCCACCUCACCAUCUGCUUAUCUUUUAUGCCAUCGCACAUUGUCCUUAUAGGUUUUCUCCUAACAUCUAGAAUGUACUUGUUGAACACCUCAGACAAGUUGUUCACUACCAAGUCAGUCUUGCUGUUUGUGUCAAAUGCAUGCCUUGCCCAUGUUUUUUUGGUAUUGCAGUAAGCCACUCCCAAGCUUCCUCACUUUCAGCUCUAAGAUCAUUCAUUGCAAUAUUAAAUUGUGUUCAUUGUAGGCAUAGCUAGCAUUAUCCAUGCACUUCUUAAGAUCUUCACCCCUAAACCCAGCAUUUUGGAAAUUUGCAUAUAAAUGUCUAAGGCAGAAUCUUUGGUUGCAAUUUGGAAACACAGCAUUCACUGCAUUCAGUAACCCCUGACACAAACAAUUUAACAAGUCUAAGCUACAAGCUAAAGAAAUAUGCACCAAUCAAACUCUAAGCUACUGUAAACACUUGAGCAAAACAGAAUGAAAUAUGCAAACACAUACCUUUUGUCUAUCUGACAUUAUAGUAUAAGGUCCAAACUUGCCCACUUCUCCCCCUAGGCAAAUUUUCAGUUGGUGUAGAAACCAACACCAACUAGGUGUGUCCUCUUGUCCAACUAUGCCAAAUGCCAGUGGAUAUAUGUUGUUGUUGCCAUCUCUACCAGUGGCAGCAAGGAGUUGAGCACCUGUAGUGAGCUUAAUGAAGGAUCCAUCAACACCUGCAUAAUCAACAUUUCCAAACAUUAAAUACAUUCAAGUGAGAUACAAUAUGGAGUACUCUACAAUAUGUAAAUGGUGCACAAGGUUAAGGAACUAACCAAUGAAUGGUCUGCACCCAUUGAGAAACCCCUCCCUUGCUCCAUUCCUGCAAAAGAACAUGGCAUGGAAUCUUGGGCCUGGGUGGGGUAUUUUUGCAUUUGGUACUGGAGUAACAGUAGUGACUAUUACUCUACUCCCAGGGUUUGUGUCCAUGACAGUUUGAGCAUAGUCUUUAAGCCUAGGAUAUUGCUUCUUGUGAUCUCCUAACACAGCUUCAAUAGCUAUGUUCUUUGCCCUAUAUGCCAUGCACUUGGGCACAUCUACACCAUAUUUUUCCAUGCAUGCAUCAAUUAUAGUCUGAAUACCAGUAGUUAUAUCAGAUCUAAAGAGAUGCUCAUAUUUCUGUGCUAGCCACUUAGCACUAACCCUGGUGGUCUCAGUAGUACUAGGGCAAGUGUGCUCUAGUCUCAUCUUCUUAAUUACAAAGGCUUUCUCCCCUUUUAUAACUGCUGCCACCAUGCAUAAAGAACUGGCAUUGUUUAUCUGUACACUCAACAAUUAUCCUCUGAUCUGAAUUCCUGUGAUACUUGAAAUUCCUAGCCUGAGUAAUGUGCAAAUUCAACAAAGCAUCUCUGAAUUCAUGUUGAUCCCUAAAACACAACUUUAGACAUAGUUGUUCAUGUGGUUGCUCCAUUUUCUCAUUGUACCACUUCCUAGCAGACCUUUUCUUUGCCCUACUCUGCCUUUUCUUUGAUAGGACAAAUGAGAUUGGCUGAAAACCAUCAUCAUCACUCUCCCUCAACAACCCCUUCUCUUCUUCAUCUGAUGAUGGUCUGAAAUCAGGUUCAACCUCUGGUAGCUUACUGGAAUGUGACCUAGUAGUUGGUCCUCUUCUAACUGGCAGCUUCUGCUUCUUUACAGGUACAACUAUAUUUUCUUCUUCUUCUUCUUCUUCUUCUUCUUCUUCUUCAAAAGUCCUAUCUUCCUCUACCUCAAAAGGGUCCUCAACUUCAGUGUCACCCUCAUAAUGCAGCACUGGUUCCUCAUCUGAUUCUUCCUCUUGUACUUCUAACUCUCUCUGUCUCUUCCCCUCUUCCACCUCUACAUCUUCAUCAUCACACAUAUAAUUAGGCUCACUUCCAAUUUGACCAUCCUCAUCAGAGGCAGAAGCAUCACUGUCCUCAUAUACCUCAUAUCCUUGAUAUCCCUCUUCUUCUUCUUCCAAAAUAGCUUUCAACUUGGCAUUUGCAUUCCUGCUUUCUUGUGUGCAACCAACAGGAGGAUGGGGUGUGCUAGAGCUGCUACGUUGACUCUCAAAAACUACUCCUUGCUGAUCAACAGCUAAGACAGAAGGCUCACUAAGAUCAUAAACAACAGGCUCUUGGUACACAACAGUGGACAAAUCUAGCCUUUCACAUUGCUGCAACUCAAAAUCUCUAUCAGGGGGUGGACAAGCCCUAACUAGCAAAUUAAGCUCCAAUUUGUCCUGGAUCUUCCUCUUUAUCAUCUGUAAUUCUGCAUGACUGUCUACCAAAUCCAGCCCUUUCUCUCCUAAAGAUGGAUUUUCAAUGUGAUACAAACAAUCAUAUGCAUUAAAUCCUUGGGUUUCCAUCACUGCAACCAAAUUCAGAUAAGUAAUAUCUGAACUACAAAGCUUCAUCUCCAAUGGUUCUCUUGCAUCAAAAUGGAUCCUUACUUGCCAAAUGUCUUCAUCCAAACUACAGAACAAAUUCAAUUUCAUGUAUUCAUUACCAUAACUCUAAAUUUGGAGAGCAACAGUACAAUACAGGAAAAUUUGAAUUAACUUUCCUAUAAGUCUCAAAUUUACUAUUACAAUUACAGAUGACAGAACAUGAAUCAAUGUAGCUACGACCAUUUCAGCACAAUAGCAAAUUCAAGGAAAAAUACAAGGACAAAAUACUUCAAUUACUCAAACCCUAAUCCCAUAUUGUUACUGUAAUUGAACUACUUUGAUAGUGCACUACACUAGGUUGCUAGGUUACUGUAAUUGUCCUACAGUGCUCACAGAAGAUGAACAAACCCUAAUCCCCAACUGGAUAAAUGAUGACCCACGAGUAUAGGGGAUCUAUCGUAGUCCUUUCGAUAAGUAGGAGUGUCGAACCCAACGAGGAGCAGAAGGAAAUGAUAAGCGGUUUUCAGCAAGGUAUUCUCUGCAAGCACUGAAAUUAUAGGCAACAGAUAGUUUUGUGAUAAGGUAAUUUGUAACGAGCAACAAGUAACAAAAGUAAAUAAAGUGCAGCAAGGUGGCCCAAUCCUUUUUGUAACAAAGGACAAGCCUGGACAAACUCUUAUAUAGAGAAAAGCGCUCCCGAGGACACAUGGGAAUUGUCGUCAAGCUAGUUUUCAUCACGUUCAUAUGAUUCGCGUUCGGUACUUUGAUAAUUUGAUAUGUGGGUGGACCGGUGCUUGGGUGCUGUCCUUACUUGGACAAGCAUCCCACUUAUGAUUAACUCCUAUUGCAAGCAUCCGUGACUACAAAAGAAGUAUUAAGCUAAACCUAACCAUAACAUGAAACAUAUGGAUCCAAAUCAGCCCCUUACGAAGCAACGCAUAAACUAGGGUUUAAGCUUCUGUCACUCUAGCAACCCAUCACCUACUUAUUACUUCCCAAUGCCUUUCUCUAGGCCCAAAUAAUGGUGAAGUGUCAUGUAGUCGACGUUCACAUGACACCACUAGAGGAGAGACAACAUACAUCUCAUCAAAAUAUCGAACGAAUACCAAAUUCACAUGACUACUAAUAGCAAGACUUCUCCCAUGUCCUCAGGAACAAACGUAACAACUCACAAAGCAUAUUCAUGUUCAUAAUCAGAGGAGUAUUAAUAUGCAUAUAGGAUCUGAACAUAUGAUCUUCCACCAAAUAAACCUACAAGUACCAAUCUCAGACUUAGAGACAAGAAUUGGAUACAAGAGAUGAACUAGGGUUUGAGAGGAGAUGGUGCUGGUGAAGAUGUUGGUGGAGAUUGGCCCCCUCCCGAUGAGAGGAGCGUUGGUGAUGACGAUGGUGAUGAUUUCCCCCUCCCAGAGGGAAGUGUCCCCGGCAGAGCAGCUCCGCCAGAGCCCUAGAUUGGUUCCGCCAAGGUUCCGCCUCGUGGCGGCGGAGUCUCGUCCCGAAAGCUUGCUUAUGAUUUUUCUUCGGACGAAAGACUUCAUAUAGCAUAAGAUGGGCACCGGAGGGCCACCAGGGGGCCCACGAGGCAGGGGGACGCGCCUAGGGGGGUAGGGCGCGCCCCCACCCUCGUGCCCAGGGUGUGGGUCCCCUCUGGCAUUUUCUUCGCUCAGUAUUUUUUAUUAUUUCGAAAAAUAACUUCCGUGGAGUUUCAGGACUUUUGGGGCUAUGCUGAAUAGGUCUCUAAUAUUUGCUCCUUUUUCAGCCCAGAAUUCCAGCUGUCGGCAUUCUCUCUCUUUAUGUAAACCUUGUAAAAUAAGAGAGAAUAGGCAUAAGUAUUGUGACAUAAUGUGUAAUAACAGCCCAUAAUGCAAUAAAUAUCAAUAUAAAAGCAUGAUGCAAAAUGGACAUAUCAACUCCCCCAAGCUUAGACCUCGCUUGUCCUCAAGCGGAAGCCGAUAACGAUAAAUAUGUCCACAUGCUUAGAGAUAGAGGUGUCGAUAAAAUAAAAUACGGACAUGAGGGCAUCAUGAUCAUUCUUAUACAGCAACAUAUAUGGAUAUUGUCAUAUGAUUUCUUAUGCUCAAGUAACAAUCUAUUCACAAUGCAAAGUAUGAAUCAGAAACUUCAUUGAGAACUAACAAACUAUAAUGUCAGUCAUUGAAGCAAUUGCAAUUUAUCAUAACAUCAGAAAGUGUCUAUGUAAGAGCUUUUUAGCAAGUCCACAUACUCAACUAUCAUUUAGUCUUUCACAAUUGCUAACACUCACGCAAUACUUGUGGUUACAGAGUUUUAAUCGGACAUAGAGAAAGAUAGGGGCUUAUAGUUUCGCCUCCCAACCUUUUACCUCAAGGGUAAUGUCAACAAUAAUAGUUCAUGCUAACUUACAUCCAAUUAGAUAUAUAUAUCAGGAUCUUUCCAACACAAUGUACUUGCCAAAGGAUAAAAUAUAAAAAGGAAAGGUGAAGAUCACCAUGACUCUUGCAUAGGGUAAGAGGUAAAAGUAAAAGAUAGGCCCUUCACAGAGGGAAGCAGAGGUUGUCAUGCGCUUUCAUGGUUUGAUGCACGAAAUCUUAAUGCAAAAGAACGUCACUUUAUAUUGCCACUUGUGAUGUGGACCUUUAUUAUGCAGUCCGUCGCUUUUAUUUCUUCCAUAUCACAAGAUCGUAUAAAGCUUAUUUUCUCCCACACUAAUAAGUCAUACAUAUUUAGAGAGCAAUUUUUAUUGCUUGCACCGAUGACAACUUACUUGAAGGACCUUACUCAAUCCAUAGGUAGAUAUGGUGGACUCUCAUGGCAAAACUGGGUUUAAGGGUAUUUGGAAGCACAAGUAGUAUCUCUACUUGGUGCAAGGAAUUUUGGCUAGCAUGAGGGAGAAAGGCAAACUCAACAUGUUGGAUGAUCCGUGACAAUAUACUUUAUUUUAGAUGUAAGAAAACAUAACCCAUUACAUUGUCUUCCUUGUCCAACAUCAACUCUUUAGCAUGUCAUAUUUUAAUGAGUGCUCACAAUCAUAAAAGAUGUCCAAGAUAGUAUAUUUAUAUGUGAAACCUCUCUUUCUUUAUUACUUCCUAUUAAUUGCAACAAUGACCAAUACUAUGUUUGUCCACUCUCAACAAUUUUUAAUCAUCAUACUCUUUCUAUGUGAAGUCAUUACUCUCCAUAAGAUCAAUAUGAUCUCUUUAUUUCUUUUUAUUCUUUCCCUUUUCUUUUAUUCCCUCAAGAUCAUAGCAAGAUAAUCAAGCCCUUGACUCAACACUAAUCUUUAUUAUAUAUAGCUCACGGACUCGAUUACAUAGAGGAAUCAUAAAGCAAAACUCAAAACUAAAUCAUACUAAAAUUUAUUCUACUAGAUCAAGAUAUUACUAAAAGGAUCGAACUAAGAAAAAGGGUAAAGAUACGAGUGUGAUGGUGAUACGAUACCGGGGCACCUCCCCCAAGCUUGGCAGUUGCCAAGGGGAGUGCCCAUACCCAUAUGAUUAUGUCUCCCUUGCUGGUGAUGAUGGGUAGUCACACAUCGAGCGUAAGAGAUCCUCCAACUUGCGGAUAAUGCCCUUGAGUGCAACGAUAUGCCCCUUCAACAAAAUAUUUUCACGUGUGAGAUACUUGUUUUGUAUACGAGCUAACUCAAUCAUCUUGAAAGCUUCGAUCUCAGUUGGGGUAAGAAUAUUGUGAUCAAGUUGAAGGAUGUCUUCUGUUGCCGGAACUUGGUCCUCCGUGGCCUUCUUGAUCCCUUCAUCCUUGUUGAUCUCCAUGGGUUCUUCCCUCUUCAGCUCUAUCUUCAUGAGCCAAGCAUCGUUGUCACCAUUGUUGGAGGAGGGGGAUGACAUGAUGCCUGGCUUUGACAAUCCUGACAGAAAACAGAGGAUAUUUGCGUGAUACAGGAGUCAAAACCUUCGGGAGAUUAUAUAAUGAAUUUUUACCAACCAAAAUAGGUAUCAUGCAAGAAAACGGAGUCCGGAGAGUACACGAGGUGCCCACGAGGUAGGGGGGUGCGCCCAGGGGGGUAGGGCGCGCCUCCCACCCUCGUGGAUGCCUCGUGUCCUUCCCGGACUGCUUCUUAUUUUCCUGUUUUCUUAAAUAUUCCAAAAUGGAGAGAAAUUGCCAUUAGAACUGAUUUGGAGUCGGUUUACUUACCGUACCACGUACCUAUUCCUUUUCGGGGUCUGAAACGUUCUGGAAAGUGUCCCUUAUGUGUUCCUCCGGGGUUACGAUUUCAAUAAUAUUAGUUUCAACAUUUAUAGGAUUACCUGAGAUAUAAUGUUUGAUUCUUUGACCGUUCACCACCUUUGGAUUUGUGCCUUCGAAGUUGUUGAUUUUUAUGGCACCGGAACGAUAGACCUCCUCGAUAACGUAAGGACCUUCCCAUUUAGAGAGAAGUUUUCCUGCAAAAAAUCUUAAACGAGAGUUGUAUAGCAACACAUAUUCACCUACAUUAAACUCAAGCUUUUGUAUCCUUUUGUCAUGCCAUCUUUUAACUUUUUCUUUAAACAACUUGGCAUUUUCAUAGGCUUGAGUUCUCCACUCAUCAAGUGAGCUAAUGUCAAAUAACCUCUUCUCACCGGCAAGUUUGAAAUCAUAAUUGAGCUCUUUAAUAGCCCAAUAUGCCUUAUGUUCUAGUUCGAGAGGUAAGUGACAUGCUUUUCCAUAAACCAUUUUAUACGGAGACAUACCCAUAGGAUUUUUAUAUGCAGUUCUAUAGGCCCAUAAUGCAUCAUCAAGUUUCUUAGACCAAUUCUUUCUAGAUCUAUUAACAGUCUUUUGCAAAAUUAAUUUGAGUUCUCUAUUACUCAAUUCCACUUGACCGCUAGACUGUGGGUGAUAAGGGGAUGCAAUUCUAUGAUUAACAUCAUAUUUAGCAAGCAUCUUACGAAAAGCACCAUGAAUAAAAUGUGAACCACCAUCGGUCAUUAAAUAUCUAGGGACUCCAAACCUCGGAAAAAUAACUUCUUUAAGCAUCUUAAUAGAAGUGUUAUGAUCAGCACUACUAGUUGGAAUAGCUUCUACCUACUUAGUAACGUAAUCAACAGCAACUAAAAUAUGUGUAUAUCCAUUAGAGGCAGGAAACGGUCCCAUAUAAUCGAAGACCCAAACAUCAAAUGGUUCAAUAACAAGUGAAUAAUUCAUAGGCAUUUCUUGACAUCUACUAAUAUUAUCAAUUCUUUGACAUUCAUCGCAAGAUAAGACAAACUUACGAGCAUCCUUGAAGAGAGUAGGCCAAUAAAAACCGGAUUGCAAUACCUUGUGUGCAGUUCUAUCUCCAGCGUGGUGUCCUCCAUAAGCCUCGGAGUGACAGUUGCAUAGGAUCUAUUCCUGUUCAUGCUCAAGUACACAACGUCUAAUAACACCAUCUACUCCUUCUUUAUAAAGAUGUGGGUCAUCCCAGAAGUAAUGUCUUAAAUCAUAGAAAAACUUUUUCUUUUGCUGGUAUGUGAAACUAGGUGGUAUAAAUUUAGCAACAAUGUAAUUAGCAUAAUCAGCAUACCAUGGAGCAGUACGAGAAGCAUUUAUGACAUUCAGUUGUUCAUCAGGAAAGCUAUCAUCAAUAGGUAGUGGGUCAUCAAGAACAUUCUCUAACCUAGACAAGUUGUCUGCAACGGGGUUCUCAGCUCCCUUUCUAUCAAUAAUAUGCAAAUCAAAUUCUUGUAGCAAGAGAACCCAUCUAAUAAGUCUAGGUUUAGCAUCUUUCUUUUUCAUAAGAUAUUUAUUAGAAGCGUGAUCAGUGUGAAUAGUUACUUUAGAAUCAAUAAUAUAAGGUCUAAACUUAUCACAAGCAAAUACAACUGCUAAGAAUUAUUUUUCAGUAGUAGCAUAAUUUCUCUGGGCACUAUCUAGAGUUUUACUAGCAUAUUGAAUAACUUUAAUUUCUUAUCAACUCUUUGCCCUAGAACAGCACCUACAGCAUAAUCACUAGCAUCACACAUAAUUUCAAAGGGUAAAUUCCAAUCAGGUGGCUGAACAAUAGGUGCAGAAAUCAACGCUUUCUUAAGUAUUUCAAAUGCUUCUACACAAUCAUCAUCAAAGACAAAAGGAAUAUCUUUUUUGUAAUAGAUUGGUCAGAGGCCGAGAAAUUUUUGAGAAGUCCUUAAUGAACCUAUAAAAACCGGCAUGACCAAGGAAGCUUCUUAUACCUUUAAUGUCCUUGGGACAUGGCAUCUUUUCAAUAACAUCAACUUUGGCUUUAUCAACUUCAAUGCCUCUUUCAUAAAUUUGUGCCACAAGACAAUACCCUCAUUAACCAUAAAGUGGCACUUCUCCCAAUUUAAGACAACGUUAGUUUCUUCACAUCUCUGCAAAACUCGAUCAAGGUUGCUCAAGCAAUCAUCAAAAGAGGAUCCAUAAACGGAGAAAUCAGCCAUGAAAACCUCACAAAUCUUUUCACAAAAAUCAGAGAAUAUAGCCAUCAUGCAUCUUUGAAAGGUAGCAGGUGCAUUACAUAAACCAAAAGGCAUACGUCUAUAAGCAAAAGUACCGAAAGGGCAAGUAAAUGUGGUCUUAGCUUGAUCAUCAGCUGACACGGGUAUUUGAGAGAAACCAGAAUAACCAUCUAGAAAGCAAAAGUGUGUAUGUUUGGAUAAUCUCUCUAGCAUUUGAUCAAUAAAAGGUAAGAGGUAAUGAUCUUUUUUAGUAGCUUUAUUUAAUUUGCGGAAAUAAAUUACCAUCCUAUAACCUGUAAUAAUUCUUUGCGGAAUCAAUUCAUCUUUAUCAUUAGGAACGACAGUAAUACCUCCCUUCUUAGGGACACAAUGGACAUGACUUACCCACUGACUAUCAGCAACGGGAUAGAUUAUACUUGCCUCAAGGAGCUUUAAUAUUUCCUUUCUUACCACUUAUUUCAUCUUAGGAUUCAGCCGUCGUUGGUGAUCAAUAACGGGUUUGGCGUCUUUCUCCAAAUUUAUUUUGUGUUGACAUAGAGUGGGACUAAUGCCCUUAAGGUCAUCAAGAGUAUAUCCAAUAGCAGCACGGUGCUUCUUCAGAGUUUUCAAUAAUUUUUCUUCCUCCUUCUCUGAAAGGUUAGCACUAAUAAUAACAGGAUAUAUCUUCUUUUCAUCAAGAUAAGCAUAUUUAAGAGUGUCAGGCAAUGGUUUAAGAUCAAACACGGGAUCACCCUUGGGUGGAGGAAGAUCCCCUAAGAUUUCAAUAGGCAAGUUGUUUUUCAGAAUAGGACCCUGUUUAAAGAACACUUCAUCUAUAUCCCUUCUUUCAUUCAUAAACAUAUCAUUUUCAUUGUCUAGCAAAUAUUGUUCUAAAGGAUCACUAGGAGGUACGACAAUAGAAGCAAGACCAAUAAUUUCAUCUUUACUAGGUAAUUCCUCUUCACGGUGUUGUCUAUGAAAUUUAGAGAAAUUAAACUCAUGAGACAUAUCACCCAAACCAAUAGUAACAACAUCCUUUUCGCAGUCUAUCCUAGCAUUAACAAUGUUAAGAAGGGUCUACCAAAUAUAAUGGGACAAAAGCUAUCUUGUGGGGAACCAAGAACAAGAAAAUCAGCAGGAUAUUUAGCCUUCCCACACAAGACUUCAACAUCUCUAACAAUCCCAAUCGGUGAUAUAGUAUCUCUAUUGGCAAGCUUAAUGGUAACAUCAAUAUCUUCUAUCUCAGCAGGUGCAAUAUCAUGCAUAAUUUCUUUGUAUAAAGAAAUAGGUAUUGCACUAGCACUAGCACCCAUAUCACACAAGCCAUGAUAACAAUGAUCUCCUAUUUUAACAGAAAUAACAGGCAUGCCUACCACAGGUCUAUGUUUAUCUUUAGCACCCGGUUUAGCAAUUCUAGCAGUCUCAUCACAGAAGUAAAUAACAUGCCCAUUGAUAUUAUCAGCCAAGAGGUCUUUAACAAUAGCAAUAUUAGGUUCAACUUUAACUUGCUCAGGAGGUGUAUAAGUUCUAAUAUUACUUUUACAAACCGCAGUUCAAGCUUUAGCAUGAUCCUUUAUCCUAACAGGAAAAGGUGGUUUCUCAACAUAAGCAGUAGGAACAAUAGGAUCAUUAUAAGUGAUAAUCUUUUCUUCAACUUUAAUAGGUGCAACUACUUUUACUUCUAUGGGAGGAUGAUAUUUAAACUACUUCUCCUUAGGGAGAUCAACAUGAGCAGCAAAAGAUUCACAAAAAGAAGCUACUAUCUUAGAGUCAAGUCCAUAUUUAGUGCUAAAUUUACGGAAAACAUCGGUAUCCAUAAAAGAUUUAACACAAUCAAACUUAGGUGUUAUACCUGACUCCUUACCUUCGUUGAGAUCCCAAUCUUCAGAGUUGCAUUUAAUUCUUUCCAAUAAAUCCCAUUUGAAUUCAAUAGUCUUACUGUUGCUAUUUUUAUUUAUUUUAAUAAAGUUUAUUUAUUUUACUUUAUUAAAGUUUAUUUUAUUUCUACUUAUUUAUUUUAUUAAAGUUUAUUCUAUUUUGUUUCUACUUAUUUAUUUUAUUAAAUUUUAAUUUAUUUUAUUUUGUUUCUACUUAUUUAUUAAAUUUUAUUUUGUUUCUUUCUGCUUUUCAUGUUUUGAACAGAAAAUACUUAUAAUACUAGAGGUUUAUAAAAGCUUUUUAGUUUAUUCCUUUUGCUAUUAGAGUUUUAUAAAAGUUUUUUAGUUGAUUUUCUUUUUGCUAUUAAAGAAUAUUAUAGUUUUGUUUUAGUUGAUCAUAACAGAAUAUUUUAAUUGAUUAUUUUUUAGCUAAAUGAUGUGGCUUUUUAGUUGAUCAGUGUUUCAUACGGAAACUUAUCUGUUACAAAGAGAUUUCAUUUUUUAAACUUAUUUGAACUCCAGACCUUUUGUGUGUUCAAAAUGCACCAUUCAAAGCCACAUCAUCAAUUUUCAACCCUUUCUGACUUCAUUUGUUAUUUUUCAUGCACUUACUGAUUUUUUUAGCUAUAAGACCCUGAAAUUCAAAAGCAUUUCAAAUGAACUCUGAAAAGGUUGAAAGUUGGCAUGGUAUCAUCAUUUCAUCCACAUAGCAUGUGUUAAAAAGUUGAGAGGGUUACGGCAAAAACUAGAUGCACUUCGUGUACAAAAUGGACAGUCUCUUUCGAAGUAUCAGGGUUUCACACGAAAAGUCAUCUGUUACAAGGGAUUUCAUUUUUUAAACUUAUUUGAACUCCAGACUUUUUGUGUGUUCAAAAUACACCAUUCAAAGCCACAUCAUCAGUUUUCAACCCUUUCUGACUUCAUUUGUUAUUUUUCAUGCAUUUACUAAUUUUUUUGAGCUAUAAGACCCUGAAAUUCAAAAGCAUUUCAAAUGAACUCUGAAAAGGUUGAAAGUUGGCAUGAUAUCAUCAUUUCACCCACAUAGCAUGUGCUAAAAAGUUGAGAGGGUUAGGGCAUGGACAACACAUAAAACCAUUCUGCUUGUUUGCCUCAGCCACUUCGACAAACAUAAUUAUGUGUGUCUGUCACCAUACAUCCAUUGCCGGUUCAUCUGCGUGCAUUAUAUAUUAUUAUGUGUGUCAAAAACCAUUACAGGUUCACAUGGAUACACUAGUAGAAAACAGGGCUUUCGUUCGGGCAUGGCAAGCCCAUUAGUCCCGGUUCAGUCACGAACUGGGACCCAUGGGGGCAUUCGUCCCGGUUCGUGAGCCCUGGGGGCCGGCCGGGGCCUCGUGGGCAUUGGUCCCGGUUCGUAUGGAACAAUUUGUCCCGGUUCGAGGCACGAACCGGGACUAAUGGGCCUCGCUCCUGGCCCACAACCAUUGGUCCCGGUUCUUGGCUUGAACCGGGACAGAAGGCCCAGAUUUAGUACCGGUUCUAGCCACGAACCGAGACAAAUGAGCUGCCUAUAUAUACCCCAUCGCCGCAGCAGAGCACUCCACAGUGCUCUAUUUUUUCUGGCCGUCGAGGGGAGGGCAUUUGGGUGCUUUAGCUCACCUCCUAUGCACAUGAGGUGUUCGAUGAAAUGUCUGAGCCACACUAGUUAAUCUUUCUCCUCUCGAAACUCGACCUCCGAGCUCCAUUUUCCCCGAGAUUUGUCUAGGUUUAGCGGUCCGUCACGUCCCGUCCCCGUCUUCACCGCCGUCGAUCGCCCAUGCCGAUCUCGUCGCCAGCACCACCGUGGUGAGCCUCUUGUUCUUAUCUUCUUUCUGAAAGAAAAAAAUUCUUACUUCAGAUAGAUACUUGUCUAAUUUUGUUACUUUUAUUAUUCCUUCUUAUUAUAUAGUGCGAUGGUUUUGGUAUCCGCCCCCGUCGGCCCUCGUCCUGUCUAUGAUUCGGAUGUGGUAUAUAUUAUCUUUUUAUAACUAUUUGGUUCAUUUAUUGUUUAUGACAAUUAUGCCGACCAACGUGACAUAGAUUUUAUUUAUCUAGGAGGUGGUUGAACCGGAAAUUCCAACCGACCCUAUUGUCGAGAGGUUAAAUUUAGUUGAAGAAGAAAACAAUUACUUGAAGGAAAAAAUAAAAAAAUGAGGAGGAGAAUAUGAUAUUGGAGUUGCAUGUUGCGGAUGUCGUCGAUGAUCGCAAGAUCAAGAUGGAUGCAAUGCGGUUGAAGAUUAGAAAGAUUAGAAAAUAUGCCAUUCAUACCGAGGCUUGGUAUCAUUAUGCAGUUGGAUCAAUUGUUACCUUGGUUUGCGAUUAUGAUCGUAUUUGUUGUUGCAUUGAAAUGUUUUACAUAAUUUCAAUGUAUGGUUUAAUAGAUGCUCUAGAGAGCUAUAUAUAUGUUGUUCAAUGAGAACUAUGUAUGUACUUUGGUUUUAAUGUGAUGAUGAACUUCUGUUAAUUUGGUCACUUAUCUAUUCAUGAGAGCUAUAUGUUAUCUUCAAUUUCAGGGUCUUAUAGCUCAAAAUAAUCAGUAAAUGCAUGAAAAAUAACAAAUGAAGUCAGAAAGGGUUGAAAAUUGUUGUUGUGGCUUUGAAUGGUGCAUUUUGAACACAGAAAAACUAUGGAGUUCAAGUAAGUUCAAAAAAAAUGAAAUCCCUUUGUAGCAGACGAGUUUCCGUAUGAAACCCUGAUACUUCGAAAGAGAUUGUCCGUUUUGUACACGAAGUGCAUCCAGUUUUUGCUGUAACCCUCUCUACGUUCUUGCACAUGCUAUGUGGGUGAAAUGAUGAUACCAUGCCAACUUUUAACCUUUUCAUAGUUGAUUUGAAAUGCUUUUCAAUUUCAGGGUUUUAUAGCACAAAGUAAUCAGUAAAUGCAUGAAAAAUAACAAAUGAAGUCAGAAAGGGUUGAAAAUUGAUGAUGUGGCUUUGAAUGGUGCAUUUUGAACACAGAAAAACUAUGGAGUUCAAGUAAGUUCCAAAAAAUGAAAUCCCUUUGUAACCGACGAGUUUCCGAAUGAAACCCUGAUACUUCGAAAGAGAUUGUCCGUUUUGUACACGAAAUGCAUCCAGUUUUUGCCGUAACCCUCUCUACUUUCUUGCACAUGCUAUGUGGGUGAAAUGAUGAUACCAUGCCAACUUUCAACCUUUUCAGACUUCAUUUCUAGUGCUUUUCAAUUUUACGGUCUUAUAGCUCAAAAUAAACAAUAAAUGUAUGGAAAAUAACAAAUAUCAUAAAAAAAUAAAUAAGUAAUUAGAAACAGAAUAAAAUAAACUUUAACAAAAUAUAUAAGUAGAAACAAAACAAAAUAAACUUUAAUAACAUAAAUAAAAUUUAUUAAACUAAAAUUAUCAACGUAUUUUCUGUUCAAAACAUUAUAAGCAACCUCUAGUAUUACUGAAACUAAAAUUAUAUAAAAUUGAUGCAACUAAAAUAUCAAAGUUUUUUCUGUUCAAAAUCAUUAAAAGCAAAAAGAAUUUUCAUAAAGAAAUUUUUUUGUUAGAAACUUUAAUAGCAAAAAUAAUUAUCAUAAAAUAAAUAAGUAAUUAGAAACAAAAUAAAAUAAAAUAAAUAAGUAUUUUGUUGUAAGUAGAAACAAAAUAAAAUAAAUAAAGCAAAAAAGAAAAGAAAUAAACUGGGAAAAAAUAAAAACGCCACCUACUGGGCCACCACGGCCUGAAUACGACUAGAAACCCACCCAUGGGCCAGGAUUCAGGCCCGUAGAAGGCCCAAUAGGCCCAUAGGCAGAUACAGUGUGUUUAGGCCCGAAAGCCUGCAUUUGAGAGGAGCUCGAGAGGGCAGCGGGAGUGGGGCUUAUAAACCAAUCUCGAGUUCCCUCAGCUAGCGAGGUGGGACUAAACUUUCGUGCCGCGAUGUGGGCAGCACAAGGCCUUUAGUCCCGGUUGGUGCCACCAACCGGUACUAAAGGCAUACAUUGGUACCGGUUCGUGGCACCAACCGGUACCAAUGCCCACCCUUUAGUCCUGGUUNNNNNNNNNNNNNNNNNNNNNNNNNNNNNNNNNNNNNNNNNNNNNNNNNNNNNNNNNNNNNNNNNNNNNNNNNNNNNNNNNNNNNNNNNNNNNNNNNNNNNNNNNNNNNNNNNNNNNNNNNNNNNNNNNNNNNNNNNNNNNNNNNNNNNNNNNNNNNNNNNNNNNNNNNNNNNNNNNNNNNNNNNNNNNNNNNNNNNNNNNNNNNNNNNNNNNNNNNNNNNNNNNNNNNNNNNNNNNNNNNNNNNNNNNNNNNNNNNNNNNNNNNNNNNNNNNNNNNNNNNNNNNNNNNNNNNNNNNNNNNNNNNNNNNNNNNNNNNNNNNNNNNNNNNNNNNNNNNNNNNNNNNNNNNNNNNNNNNNNNNNNNNNNNNNNNNNNNNNNNNNNNNNNNNNNNNNNNNNNNNNNNNNNNNNNNNNNNNNNNNNNNNNNNNNNNNNNNNNNNNNNNNNNNNNNNNNNNNNNNNNNNNNNNNNNNNNNNNNNNNNNNNNNNNNNNNNNNNNNNNNNNNNNNNNNNNNNNNNNNNNNNNNNNNNNNNNNNNNNNNNNNNNNNNNNNNNNNNNNNNNNNNNNNNNNNNNNNNNNNNNNNNNNNNNNNNNNNNNNNNNNNNNNNNNNNNNNNNNNNNNNNNNNNNNNNNNNNNNNNNNNNNNNNNNNNNNNNNNNNNNNNNNNNNNNNNNNNNNNNNNNNNNNNNNNNNNNNNNNNNNNNNNNNNNNNNNNNNNNNNNNNNNNNNNNNNNNNNNNNNNNNNNNNNNNNNNNNNNNNNNNNNNNNNNNNNNNNNNNNNNNNNNNNNNNNNNNNNNNNNNNNNNNNNNNNNNNNNNNNNNNNNNNNNNNNNNNNNNNNNNNNNNNNNNNNNNNNNNNNNNNNNNNNNNNNNNNNNNNNNNNNNNNNNNNNNNNNNNNNNNNNNNNNNNNNNNNNNNNNNNNNNNNNNNNNNNNNNNNNNNNNNNNNNNNNNNNNNNNNNNNNNNNNNNNNNNNNNNNNNNNNNNNNNNNNNNNNNNNNNNNNNNNNNNNNNNNNNNNNNNNNNNNNNNNNNNNNNNNNNNNNNNNNNNNNNNNNNNNNNNNNNNNNNNNNNNNNNNNNNNNNNNNNNNNNNNNNNNNNNNNNNAAGAAGAAGAAGAAGAAGAAGAAGAGAGGAAGAAGAGGAGAAAUAAAUAAGAAGAUGAAAAAGAAGAAAAAAAAAGAGUAGAAGAAGAAGGAAUAGAGGAGAAGAAGAAGAAAUAGAAUAAUAUAUUAUUCUAUUUUUUCUUCUUCUCCUCUAUUCCUUCUUCUUCUCCUCUUUUUUUUCUUCGAUCUCCUCCUCUAUUCCUUUCUUCUUCUCCUCUUUUUUUCUUCUUCUUCCUCUUCUUUUUUUUAUCGGGUAUGCCGUUGUCGACAUACGUACCCCCCUCCCCGAUAACUUUUAGUAAGUACUACUUAGAAAGUGUUUAAUAAAAUUAGUUAGAAAAAUAAUAGAACUAGUUAAACUAGCUAGUUUAUUUUUAGUAAGUACUACUUUAUUCUAUUUAUAGUAAGGAAAUUAAUAGAACUAGUUUGUUUUUUUAGUUAAAGCAAUUAUUCCCGCAUCGACAUCGACGAUGCCUAUCCCGCAUCCUCGUCGUCGACUCGGUGGAGGAGGCCGGCUUGAUCAGAGGGGCCAUGUCUGGGACUGGGCUCCGCUGGGCUGGUUUUGGGAGGUGCUAGCUUCCGGGGGGCGUAGGUUGGUGAGGAGCCAGCCCGUCGUUGACCCGAUCCUUGUUUGGUGGCGGUCGCGUGGGCCAGUGACGGUGCCGAGGCUUCCGGACACCGCGGAGGUGGUACGUCACCGUGUCAGCGAGGAGGACCAGCACGUCCGUCGCUACAUGGUUGCGUUGGAGGGCAGGUUCGACAAUACCUGGCAGGUUCUUCAGGGAUCUCACUGGAGCUAUGAUCCUGUGAUGGUUCCUUCCCUUUGGGUGUCCACCGCCCGCACCGAUAUCAGUCGGGCGCUACGGUUCUAGUUGUACUGGCGAUAUGUAUGAUAGUAUUCGAGGUGUAUUAGUGAUAAUAUUCGACGAUGUACGGACACAUGGAGAUGAUGUAGUUUUGCUUAUAAUUGAAUGCAUCCUAAUUUGAAUACUACUUUAUUUUGCGAUUUGAUUUUGCUUAUUGAAUGCUCAAAUUAGAAAACUACUCCUACUUCGAAUGCUAAAAUUGGAGAGCACUAUGCAAGGCAUAUGCAUAUGAUUAGUUGAUAGCUUAUAGGGUUUUUGUUUUCGCAGAAAUCUAGGAGCCCCCGGCCCCUCCAUCAUCCCCGCCGUCGUCCCCGUCACCGACCCCCUCCGACAUCGAGGUGAGACCAGCCAAAUCCUCUUUUAGAAAGAUAAUUAAACGAUAUUUCGGGUUGACUUUAAGUCUGUCGAAUCUCCACCAUAUAUGAGAGGACGAAGAAUCCCGACUGUUGUCGUGGGGGUAGCUUCUCCUUCGUUCCCGUGUGCUAGACAAUUUGGUGUAAUGCACUCGGGAACGAAAGGAGGAGCUACCAUCACCGACGGUCGCAAAUGUCAGAGAGGAAUCAGUGAGGGAGAGUUCCACCAUAUAUAUAUGAGAGGACGAAGAAUCCCGACUGUUGUCGUGGGGGUCGCUUCUCCUUCGUUCCCGUGUGCUAGACAUUUUGGUGUAAUGCACUCGGGGACAAAUGGAGGAGCGACCAUCACCAACGGUCGAAUGUAUACACCACGUGAGCUGAGAGUUUUCAAGAAAAGACUCGACAAACCGAUAGUCAACCCGUGAUGAAUAAUAAUGAUCUAAUUUAGUUUUUGUAGUACACAUAUUUAAUUGUACAAGUUUAAUCUUUGAAUUAUGAACGUAGGAAAUGUCAUCAACGGAUGACGAAAGUGUCCUGGGGGAGUGCGGGUGGUGCCACGACGAUCGAGGUUUGUGCGACAGGCCUCACCUGGACGAUGAUCGGCGCUUCAGCAUUAAGCUCGAGGAGACCUUCGAUGUUGAAACGGUACGCAACGACGACAAGUGUUUUUUUCAUAAUUAAGCAGGACUUCAACUAUUUCAACGUGUAAUUUUCAUCUUUUACAAUUCGAGUAUAGCUUAUCCUAUGCCAUGCAAGACGCUAUGUCUUGGAGAAGAUGGAUUUUGAAGACCAUGAAAAUUUUGAAACGAAGAAAAUUCACCUAAGGACCCAUCAUGAUGUGGAUUUUGAAGUAAAUCUGUAUAAUGCUGAGAGCGUAACCCAUUUUGGUUGCAAAAAUUGGGAAGCAUUUUUGCAAGAUGUAUGGUUUUGAUGAGGGUAUGCUUGUCACCAUGGAUCUUGGUGAUCCUGGAAUCGAGCAAGACAAUAUGGACAUUUGGGUCCUUGUUGAUACGCCUCCAGUUCUACCGCUAUGUGAGUUUCUCAAACAUAGUUAUUAGCUAAUUUAUAUUGUUUAUUUCAAAAUAGUUGACAGCUUAUUUUCAUUGACAGCUUAUUUUGAUUGUUCAAACAAUGUGCGGAACAUGGUAGACAAAACCCACUACACCGAUGGCACCGAAUAAACUUAUCAGGAGAAAAAUCAUCUGGUCGGAUUUUGUACUGAUAUUGAGAAUUACAAUAUCUACAAUCGAACUCCUCAACAUUAUGGUCAAUACAUGCAACUAGUGCACGUGUUGAACUACGGUAACUACCAUGGAGAUACCCUGGUAAGAUAUUUUACUAUUACGACAUCCGUGCAUCUUUUGCAUACUUCUAAAACUAGUACAUCAUUGCUAACUAUAAAGUUAUUACUAUGUUUUUCAACAGAGAAUCCCAGAGGAUUGUGUGCCUCAUUUGAUGUAUCAGAAUGGCAGCCUUCGUGUUUUGAACAUAUAUCCAGGUCAUCCUACGAAUCUCAACUGUCCAUACCGGAUUUCUCAAAGAAGUGGAGACAUGCUAAUCAAUAAAUGGAAAAAAUGUAUGGACAGUCGUAAGGAGGUUCUUGGAAGCAAAAGGAAGCGAAGCUUAAAAAUUGAAGAUAGGAUGAUCUCCAUUCUCCAUAAUGGAGAGUCAGGGUCUAUAUUGUUUUAUGCUAUUUUACCUUAAAGAGGGUAUUUAGGUCCUACAUAAUACUGAUGAUCAUGUGCUAAGAACAAAGGAGGGUUGGUUCGAUGACUAUCAAGAUGAUGAUCAUAUGACCUGUUAUUAAUAACGAGUAGAAGUUAUAUGAUGAUGAUUAGUAGGACUUGUUAUUAUGAUGAUGCAUGAUGCGAGCAUGAAGAGUUAUUAUAUAUCUGUGGAUGAAAUGAACAUGGAUUGGAUUGAAGUGAAGGCAACAUGCAUGUGGUGCAUGUCGAAAGUAGUACAAUCCAAACUUGAUCAAGUUAGGAUUAGUAUUACUUUCGACAUGCACCACAUGUUGCCUCACUUCAAUCUAAGUCAUGUUUAGGCAUAGCAGUAGCAGUAGCACGGAGAUAAGAGAGGACACAUCUCUCUAUUAGCUACCUAUACCAACCUAAAUUAACCCCCAAAACCCCUAAACAACCUCCUUUCAAAAAAAAACCAGUCGCUGAAAUGCUGACGCGUGGAAGCUUAUUGGUCCCGGUUGGUGCUACCAACCGGGACCAAAGGCCCUCCUGCCUGGGCUCGCUGGAGCGGCCACGUGGAGGCCCAUCUGUCCCGGUUUGUAUAAGAACCGGGACUAAAGGCCUAGGGCAUUAGUAACGACCCUUUAGUCCCGGUUCCCCAACUGGGACAGAUGGGCCUUAUGAACCGGGACAAAUGGGCCUUUCUCUACUAGUGACAGAUAAGUGACCAAAUUAAUAGUAGUUCAUCAUCACAUUAAAACCAGAGUACAUACAUAGUUCAAAUUAAACAACAUAUAGCUCUUCAGAGCAUCUAGUUAAACCAUACAUUGAAACUAUGUAAAACCUUUCAAUGCAACAACAAAUGCGAUCAUAAUCACAACCAAAGUAACAAUUGAUCCAACGGCAUAAUGAUACCAAGCCUCGGUAUGAAUGACAUAUUUUCUAAUCUUUCUAAUCUUCAACCGCAUUGCAUCCAUCUUGAUCUUGUGACCAUCGACGACAUCCGCAACAUGCAACUCCAAUAUCAUCUUCUCCUCCUCAAUUUUUUUUAUUUUUUUCUUCAAGUAAUUGUGUUCUUCUUCAACUAAAUUUAACCUCUCGACAAUAGGGUCGGUUGGAAUUUCCGGUUCAACCACCUCCUAGAUAAAUAAAAUCUAUGUCACGUUGGUCGGCAUAAUUGUCAUAAACAAUAAAUGAACCAAAUAGUUAUAAAAAGAUAAUAUAUACCACAUCCGAAUCAUAGACAGGACGAGGGCCGACGGGGGCGGGUACCAAAACCAUCGCACUCUAUAAUAACAAGGAAUAAUAAAAGUAAGAAAAUUAGACAAGUAUCUAUCUGAAGUAAGAAUUUUUUUCUUUCAGAAAGAAGAUAAGAACAAGAGGCUCACCACGGUGGUGCCGGCGACGAGAUCGGCGCGAGCGAUCGACGGUGGUGAAGAUGGGGACGGGACGUGACGGACCGCUAAACCUAGACAAAUCUCGGGGGAAAUGGAGCUCGGAGGUUGAGUUUCGAGAGGAGAAAUAUUAACUAGUGUGGCUCGGACAUUUCAUCGAACACCUCAUCGUGAGCUAGAGCACCCAAAUGCCCUCCCCUCGCCAGCCAGAAAAAACAGAGCACUCUGGAGUGCUCUGCUGCGGCGAUAGGGUAUAUACAGGCAACUCAUUUGUCCCGGUUCGUGGCUGGAACCGGGACUAAAGCCCAGCCUUCUGUCCCGGUUUGAGCCACGAACCGGGACCAAUGUAUGUGGGCCAAGAGCGAAGCCCAUUGGUCCCGGUUCGUGCCUAGAACCGGAACAAAUGGGUCCAGACGAAACGGGACCAAUGCCCACGAGGCCCCGGCCGGUCCCCUGGACUCACGAACCGGGACGUAUGCCCCCAUCAGUGGCGGAGCUAGCAUUUGACAACAGGGUGGGCCGCGCCCAAAAAAAUUUAGUUCGUUCUUCGGCCACAUAUGCAGUCCCCUGCACAUCUGGCUCGCACAUACUAGCUUUCUUCCCUAUCUUCCUAGCAUGUCUCAAAAAUAAAAGCAAGGUUUCUGGUGCUCUUUAUUUUUCAAUAAUUCUACAGUAAUAUGGGUAUGAUUUCAUCGGUACAUCUAUUUAUGUGCUGCAUCUAAUUAAAUUCGUCUACAACUAGAAAACGGAACUCAUCUAUGUAAUAUAUAACAUUGCAUCUCUGUUUCCAUUCCCUGUCAAGAGUCAGACAAGCAAAGAAAUUUGGCUGUAAUCGGCCGAAGGGGAUUUGAGGCCAGUACCUCUCCCUCAGUCUCCCAAUCUGUGCGCCUGAGUGGACUGGGCGCCGUGGCCCGUGGGCGACUCGCCGGCUCAAGCAGUAGCAGGGCCAGGGCGGCUGCCGACUGGGCGCGCUGCUGCGCAUGGCGGCCGGACGACGCGCGGAGCACGCAGGGCCGAUGCCCGCGGGCUUCAGGAUGGCUCCUCCUGGUGGCCGGCGAGGCGACGCCACAACGACGAAGCAAGGAAGCAGGUGGCGAAUCUGAAUCGAGCGAGACAAGGGUUGUGCGGCUGUCUCGUGUGGUGCGGUGUGCCUGUGCGUUGUGCGUCCGGCCUUCUUUCUCCCCCGGCCGCUCUUUCUGGCAGCACUUGCUGGGCUUCUUUCCCCCUGGCCCAUGUCUUAAUAAUCCUAUCCUAUGCUGGCUCGAAAUCCCAGGGUGGGCUGCGGCCCACCCUGUCCACCCUGUGGCUCCGCCACUGGCCCACAUGGGUCCCGGUUCGUGACUGAACCGGGACUAAUGGGUUGGCCAGGUCCGAACCAAACCCUGUUUUCUACUAGUGCGUCCCUCUGUAAAGAAAUAUACGUAAGAGCGCUUAGAUCACUAAUCAGUUAUGAGUUACUCCAAAUAAAUGAUUCUGUGGACUAGGCAUUAUUGUCAAAAUGAUCCACGCGCAGCGAUUGUACACUAGUAAAUAAUGGAAUGGACUUGGACAGGCCUAUGGGUGGGUGGUAGCUGGCAAUGGCAUCAGUGGUGCACAAGGCGCGCAGGCGGGAGAUGAAACGGGCUAGCCUUCCUUUUACUCGCUGCCCGGAUGCAUGCAACACCCCCGUGGUUUCAUGUGCCCGUGCAUGCAUCGUCGCUGCCAUGCAUGAGACGGCAUCACAUGCCGCACCGGACUGAUCUAUAGACCAGAAACUGCUCGACACGUCAUGGGUGUGGCCCACGCGGCCAGCGUCUCGUCGCAGGCUCGCCACUGCGCUGCUCGACUCAACCAAGCUUGCUAUAGCUACAAUAGCUAGGAAGCAACCAAAGCAGGCCGACCAGUUCGCGGCCGGUGAGUAGUCCCCUCCCCAUCUUCGUCUUGGGCUUCUUCUUCUUGAGCUCGAUCUUGUGUUUUCUUUCUUUCGCGCCCGAAAAUUAAACAACUAACCGUGCCUUCUUGCUGCUGCUGGUUCCAGUCAGCUGGCUUCGAUCCGAGUCCGACCAUGGACAUGGACUCCCCGCAGAAAAAUCUUGGAUCCAUGGAUGCCAAGAAGACGAUGGCCGCUCGUCCGUUCCAGGAAGACGAUGCCAAGAAGAUGAUGGCCGCUCUUCUGCUGCUUGUGACGCUGGCCAAGAAGACGAUGGCGGCUCGUCAGUUCCAGGAAGCUACCCGGCUGGCCAGCGCUUGGGCGCUCGUCAACGCCGCCCACUUCCCCGUCUCCUACGCCUUGGGCUCCGCCAUCUUCUACGCACUCUGCUACCUGCAGGUAACAACUACGGCCCUUGGCUGGACGGAUGCUGCUGGAUCAUUCUGAGUUCCCCAUCGAUCGACCUACCAGCUACCACUACCAUGCGCUAAUUAAGUUCGUCUUCCUGGCUGGCUGCAGCUGCUGUGCCGCGAUUCAUGCGAGGAGGAGGACGCCAUGCACCGCCCCCUCUGGAUCGGGCAGUUGUGCUGCGCCGCACUCCAGGCGGCCACGGCGGCGCUGGCUCUGCUGCUCCCGCGCCGUCGCCGCCUGAUCCGCCGUGCCCUUGCCUACCUCGCCGUCGCGGUCGCCAUCGUCAACCACUGUUUGUUGGCCAGCAUCGCCCACCUCUUGCUCAUCCCCUUGAUCGUAUACGCGGCGCUGCUGCUGCUGCUGCUACUCCCGUGCCGUUGCCGCCGGGUCUGCCAUGCCCUCGCCUACCUUGCGGUGGCGGUGGCGGCCGUCAUCAUCGGCUGCUGUAUUUUGGCGAGCUUCGUCCCCAUCGCCGUCGACACAGGACUAGGCAGGCUCAUCCUUUUGAUCGUCUACGUGGCGGCCAUGUUCAUCCUGGCGGUGGGCGACCUCAGCUUCCUGGCCCUGCUCCUGGGAGGGGAAUUCCCCUGGGAGUUCCGGUGAGGAGUAGCUGCUGAUCGGUCAGCCGCAAGCUCAUGUCGUCCAUCGAUCAGCUCAUGAGGUACUGACGCACGUAACGAUCGACUUGCGGGGAAUAUUAAUAUUGAUGUGGUGCACUUCAUCUGCCUAGUAUUGGACCUUAAUUUGAUGCUGAAUUAGCCUGUUAUUUGUGUGAUCGAGAUAUGCUAUGAGUAGUACUGAUGAACAAGCUAUAUGUAUGGAGUCUUUGAUGAACAAGCUAUAUAUAUGGAGUCUUUGAUGUAGUAUUAAUUGGACCUUUUCUCUGCAUGAUCGACGGUUUAUGCCUAGCUUCGGUAUAAUUGAUGUUGGUGAUCUUGUUCUGCGCCACGUUCCUUGCACAUGAUCAAUGGUUU